Molecule: non-coding RNA, 511 nt
Organism: Pelobates cultripes (western spadefoot toad)
Lineage: Eukaryota; Metazoa; Chordata; Amphibia; Anura; Pelobatidae
Source: the annotation of a GenBank genome assembly
UUAAAGGGACACUAUAGUCCCUAAAACAACUUUAGGUUAAUGAAGCAGUUUUGCUGUAUAGAGAUUGUCCCUGCAGUCUCACUGCCCAAUUCUCUGCUAUUAAGGAGUUAAUUAACUUUGUUUGUACAGCCCUAAUUACACUUCCCAGCAUGUAACAUGCACAGCCUUCCUAAACACUUCCUGUAAAGUGAGGUCUAAUAUUUACAUUUCAUUUAUUGAACAGUCUGUGCAAUUUAGCAUUUCUAAAUUGGAGUAUUUAGAACUUAAAUUUGAAAUUCACUUUGGAUUCUCAGUUUAGCAAAUAACCAUCAUGACAGUUGAAGAUGUACACAUAUACAUCAUUAAGGACAACUUGCUUUCAUCAUUCCCAGAUAGUCCACUAGUAUUGCAUAGAAACUGGACACAUAAUACAUAAUCUUUCCUUGUCCUGACUCCUACUCUUCAUCUGUUCCUGUCAGCUCUGCUGAUAUGACUGAUCUACCCCACAUAGACACAACUAUGUGCCCUAGAG